GGGGAAUAUUGGACAAUGGGGGGAACCCUGAUCCAGCCAUGCCGCGUGUGUGAAGAAGGCCUUAUGGUUCUAAAGCACUUUAAGCGAGGAGGAGGCUCUUUUGGUUAAUACCCAAGAUGAGUGGACGUUACUCGCUGAAUAAGCACCGGCUAACUCUUGGCCAGCAGCCGCGGUAAUACAGAGGGUGCGAGCGUUAAUCGGAUUUACUGGGCGUAAAGCGUGCGUAGGCGGCUUUUUAAGUCGGAUGUGAAAUCCCCGAGCUUAACUUGGGAAUUGCAUUCGAUACUGGGAAGCUAGAGUAUGGGAGAGGAUGGUAGAAUUCCAGGUGUAGCGGUGAAAUGCGUAGAGAUCGAGAGGAAUACUCAUUGCGAAGGCGACCUGCUGGAACAUUACUGACGCUGAGGUGCGAAAGCGUGGGGAGCAAACA
This 427-nucleotide ribosomal RNA is filed under the name uncultured Acinetobacter sp. RNAcentral's name for it is "bacterial SSU rRNA". It matches the Rfam family "Bacterial small subunit ribosomal RNA", at positions 356 to 774 of the family's 1533-position model. The record is from RNAcentral. Lineage: Bacteria; Pseudomonadati; Pseudomonadota; Gammaproteobacteria; Moraxellales; Moraxellaceae.